CGGCGAGCGAAGCGGGAAGAGCUCAAAUUUAUAAUCUGGCACCUUCGGUGUCCGAGUUGUAAUCUCUAGAAAUGUUUUCCGCGUUGGACCGCACACAAGUCUGUUGGAAUACAGCGGCAUAGUGGUGAGACCCCCGUAUAUGGUGCGGACGCCCAGCGCUUUGUGAUACAUUUUCGAAGAGUCGAGUUGUUUGGGAAUGCAGCUCAAAUUGGGUGGUAAAUUCCAUCUAAAGCUAAAUAUUGGCGAGAGACCGAUAGCGAACAAGUACCGUGAGGGAAAGAUGAAAAGCACUUUGGAAAGAGAGUUAACAGUACGUGAAAUUGUUGGAAGGGAAACGCUUGAAGUCAGACUUGCUUGCCGAGCAAUCGGUUUGCAGGCCAGCAUCAGUUUUCCGGGAUGGAUAAUGGUAGAGAGAAGGUAGCAGUUUCGGCUGUGUUAUAGCUCUCUGCUGGAUACAUCUUGGGGGACUGAGGAACGCAGUGUGCCUUUGGCGGGGGUUUCGACCUCUUCACACUUAGGAUGCUGGUGGAAUGGCUUUAAACGACCCGUCUUGAAA
Molecule: ribosomal RNA, 556 nt
Filed under: Rhodotorula mucilaginosa
Lineage: Eukaryota; Fungi; Basidiomycota; Microbotryomycetes; Sporidiobolales; Sporidiobolaceae
Description: partial large subunit ribosomal RNA
Rfam family: Eukaryotic large subunit ribosomal RNA
Source: RNAcentral